Molecule: ribosomal RNA, 460 nt
Filed under: uncultured bacterium
Lineage: Bacteria
Description: partial 16S ribosomal RNA
Rfam family: Bacterial small subunit ribosomal RNA
Source: RNAcentral
CCUACGGGUGGCUGCAGUGAGGAAUAUUGGUCAAUGGACGAGAGUCUGAACCAGCCAAGUAGCGUGAAGGAUGACUGCCCUAUGGGUUGUAAACUUCUUUUAUAUGGGAAUAAAAUGUUCCACGUGUGGGAUUUUGUAUGUACCAUAUGAAUAAGGAUCGGCUAACUCCGUGCCAGCAGCCGCGGUAAUACGGAGGAUCCGAGCGUUAUCCGGAUUUAUUGGGUUUAAAGGGAGCGUAGGUGGAUUGUUAAGUCAGUUGUGAAAGUUUGCGGCUCAACCGUAAAAUUGCAGUUGAAACUGGCAGUCUUGAGUACAGUAGAGGUGGGCGGAAUUCGUGGUGUAGCGGUGAAAUGCUUAGAUAUCACGAAGAACUCCGAUUGCGAAGGCGGCCUGCUGGACGACAACUGACGGUGAGGCGCGAAAGCGUGGGGAGCAAACAGGAUUAGAUACCCGGGUAGUC